Streptomyces collinus Tu 365 is the source of this 68-nucleotide regulatory RNA element. Lineage: Bacteria; Bacillati; Actinomycetota; Actinomycetes; Kitasatosporales; Streptomycetaceae. The record is from Rfam.
GCGGAGGCUCUCAAGUGCCGGCCCCGGACGAGAUGUGCGCCGUACCCGGUCCGCUAAGACGACGCACU